GGAUUGUAGCUCAGUGGGAGAGUGCUUGCUUUGCAUGUAUGAGGCACUGAGUUCAAUCCCCAGUACCA
This 68-nucleotide transfer RNA is filed under the name Marmota monax (woodchuck). RNAcentral describes it as "tRNA.Ala". The stretch from base 5 to 65 matches the Rfam family "tRNA", at positions 6 to 65 of the family's 71-position model. Rfam says of the family: Transfer RNA (tRNA) molecules are approximately 80 nucleotides in length. Their secondary structure includes four short double-helical elements and three loops (D, anti-codon, and T loops). Further hydrogen bonds mediate the characteristic L-shaped molecular structure. tRNAs have two regions of fundamental functional importance: the anti-codon, which is responsible for specific mRNA codon recognition, and the 3' end, to which the tRNAs corresponding amino acid is attached (by aminoacyl-tRNA synthetases). tRNAs cope with the degeneracy of the genetic code in two manners: having more than one tRNA (with a specific anti-codon) for a particular amino acid; and 'wobble' base-pairing, i.e. permitting non-standard base-pairing at the 3rd anti-codon position. The record is from RNAcentral. Lineage: Eukaryota; Metazoa; Chordata; Mammalia; Rodentia; Sciuridae.